CAGGAAGCUGUUCUUUAAGAUUAUAGAUUAAGAAGCAGAUGAAGGAAAGCAACAACUCAUUCACUGUGUAUUUUGAGAAAAGGCCAUCGACAACCCCUGCACAGCAUUUUGCAAACAUUUUACGAUCAAUUACAAGCUUGAUGAUUUGGCUUUAUUUGUAACAUGUGCACUGUGACUUGGACACUGAUGCCCCUCUUUCUGGCUGCUGUUGUCUGCAAUACAUGGAACGUGGUCUACCAACAGCAACGAAUCUGUGCAGUGAAAGGCUCUUCUGCUGUCAUUCCUUGUUUGUUCUACUAUCCUGACAACCUGAGAGUGAAAAACGUCAUGUGGGGUCAAGUUAAGUCUCAUACUUUCAAGACUCGCUUCAUUUCUGACAGGAACUUAAAAAAAGUCACAGCAAGAUUCCAGUACAUUGGUGACAAACAUCACAAUUGUUCUUUAAGAAUACACCAAGUGGAGCAUAAUGAUGCAGGAAAACACGUCUUCAGAUUUACAACUAACAACAAAAGGGACAAAUGGACUGGAAAAGAUGGCUCAACAUUGAAGGUUGUUGAUUUGAGAAUUUCGGUGACAAAGCCUGAUGGAAACGGAACAACAAAGGAGGGCGACUCUGUGAAUCUGACCUGCAGAAACAGCUGUGAUGGCGGGAACAUUUUGUCUGCUUUCACCUGGUUUAAGAAUGGAGAACCCAUAGCUGAGGGACCUACAUUUUAUUUAAGCAACAUGUCCUCCACAAACUCUGGAAACUACACCUGUUCUCUGAAAAGACACACAGCAGCAUCUUCAGGAGUCAUACAUAUUGAUGUUGAAUAUAGCCCCAAGAACACAUCAGUGUGUGUCAGACCAUCGAUGGAGGCAGACGCCGGCAGCAACAUAACCCUGACCUGCAGCAGCCAUGCAAACCCCCCAGUGGAGAAUUAUUCUUGGGUUAAAAUAGAUGACGGUGAUGUAAUGGAUGUUGGAAAAGGGCCUGUGUUCGUCCCUGAUGAUGGUGGCCAGUAUUUAUGCAGUGCCAGCAACAAACAUGGAAGCCAAAACUCCUCUGUUGUUACUUUAAAAAUGAAACCAUACUGGGCAACGUGUACCAGAGAUGUACUAAUCAUUGCUACUGUUGCUGUGUUCCUGAUUGUUAUUCUCGUUACUGCCGUCAGAAGACUCCACAAAAAAAAGACGUGGGUACCAGAGACAGAGGAGGACAUGCAGAAUACAGACUAUGUCAACUGGCUGCCCUGUGACAGCCAAUCACAAGAGGGCGAUCAGUGUGAGGAAGCAGCCACAGAAGUCGUCUAUUCAACUGUACACUUCACCAACAAAAGACAGUCAAACAUGCUACAGCAGACGGACUCCCAUAAUGAAGUCGUAGUUUACAUCACAGCGUGCAGGAACCAUCCAUCCAACCCUUUAUAGUUCAAGCCUCUCCAAUUUGAAAUUAAACACUCGCCGUUUUGCAGUAAUACGUGGGUUUUGAGGGCAUUUGGUUUCUCAUUUUUUUCUUACUUAUUGAAAAUCUGUAAGAUGUGCUGCACCUGCAAUGUAUUCAAGAUAAAUAUUAUAAACCAGGUGAGAAAAAAAAUGUGAAGAGGCAUCUUCAUGAAGGUACAAAUUACUGUGUAAAUUAGUUUUUGUUUUAAUGCAUGUUAUUGUAUUUCUUUCACCGUUCAUCUGUGUCAAAUGUGUUUGGAUUGUGUGCGUGCACACACUGCCUUUUAAGUUGCUUUCUGAUGCUCAGUGUUUUAUAAAUCACAUUAACUCCUGUUUUGUGCUUUUGGCACUGUAAAAGUGAAUUUACUUCCUGUAGUCUUUAGUUCCAGAGCAUCUCAGGAGUUGUAAACCUGCACUACUGACAAGGCAGAAAUAUGUGAAAUAAAUAUUUUAUGUAAGAUACAAAUUAUUGUAUUGGAUAAAGGAGAGCUAAACAAAAACAUUGUCACCUACAGUAAAACUAAACGCGUCCCUGCUGUUUAGUGGUCUUUCUUUUCUUUGAUGCAAUGAGAUAUACUCACCAGGUCCACAUACACAUAACACAAACCACAUAGACAUGCACUGCAAAAACUACGUAAUGUUUAAAAUCUCUAAAACACACUUCGACAUAAUGUACCAAGAGAAUGAGGUGACUUCACUUGUUUCUAGUAAUCUAGGAAAUUGAUGCAGCAGAAACAGAAACAUCCUCUUCUUUAUCCCACACAUUCUUCGUCCUCGCAAAACGUGCCUGCAUUACCCACGAUGCAUCUCUAUGGCUGACAUUUUGAUCAUGCAGAGCAAGAAGUGGACUUCUGGUAUGAUGAGCUCCCUUCUCUUCAACUCCACACCUCCAGGUUCUUUUCAUUUUCAAACUUGUAGUGUUCAGCCCCCCCAACCAACGCUGAUUUAAGUGACAUCAUUUGAGGCAAUUUAUCAGACUUCGCUCAGUUCUCUGGAGCCACAACAGGCUUUAUACAUCUUUUUCACAUAUGCAGUGCAGUGGUACUUUUGAUGUGUAAAGUUGAGUUUAAUUGCUGAUGAUGUGUAUUGGCAAAGCAUAUAACAAGGUACAGGUUCAACAACACUGUAGUUUACACUGUAGUUCACAUUUUGCAUACACAUAGCACUUAGUGGCAAGUUAUCAAAAGUAAACAUGGAAAAUGAAUAUGGCUAAAACAUACUUUAAGAACAGAGUACAGUCAAUACACUAAAUAGUGACACUUGGUUGUGGGGUGUUUAAAAAAUGUCACAGUACCUUUGACUGCUCUGCCCACAAUAAAACAACAUUAUUAGUGUGUGCUGUGUGCCAUUUCCUCUCUGCAGGGCCUGGUUUCAUAUGUAUACCGCUCAGGAUCCGAUUGAAGCUGUGCAUUGAGUCUGUGGUGUGAGCGACCUCAUUUCAGGGGCAUAGAAUGUUUUCAAGAGACGAUCCAAAAGGGUACUUAUGGUACAUUACAGGAAACUUUGGUUACAACGUGACACACUGACUCUGUGAAAACAAUUAAAGUAUUCUGCAGAGACUUUGAGCUGAAAGUUUAAAAUCAAAUAGAGAUGUGUGUUGAAGGCAGAAACCUGACAUGGACACUGAUGCUUCUGUUUCUGAGCAGUGCUCUUUGCAGUGAGUGGAAAGUGACUUAUCACCAACAACAUAUCUGUGCAGUGAAAGACUCGUCUGUUGUCAUUCCUUGUUCAUUUUCCUAUCCUGGCAAUCUGAUAGUGCAAAGUACUGCAUGGGGUCAUGAAAAAUAUCACAUUUUUAAUGGUCCUUUCAAUUUUUACAGUAACUUGAAUAAAACGAAAACGAGAUUUCAGUAUAUUGGUGACACAAAUCGCAAUUGUUCUUUAAAAAUAAACCAAGUGGAGCACAAUGAUACAGGAAAACACGUCUUCAGAUUUACAACUAAUGACGAAAGAGGCAAGUGGACUGGUAUGGAUGGCUCAACAUUAAAGGUUGUUGAUUUGAGCAUUUCAUUGACAAAGCCUAAUGGAAACGGAAUAACAAAGGAGGGCGACUCUGUGAAUCUGACCUGCAGAAACAGCUGUGAUGGCGGGAACAUUUUAUCUGCUUUCACCUGGUUUAAGAAUGGAGAACCCAUAGCUGAGGGACCUACAUUUUAUUUAAGCAACAUGUCCUUCACAAACUCUGGAAACUACACUUGUUCUCUAAAAGGACACACAGCAGCAUCUUCAGGAGUCAUACAUAUUGAUGUUGAAUAUAGCCCCAAGAACACAUCAGUGUGUGUCAGACCAUCGAUGGAGGCAGACGCCGGCAGCAACAUAACCCUGACCUGCAGCAGCCAUGCAAACCCCCCAGUGGAGAAUUAUACUUGGGUUAAAAUAGAUGACGGUGAUGUAAUGGAUGUUGGAAAAGGGCCUGUGUUCGUCCCUGAUGAUGGUGGCCAGUAUUUAUGCAGUGCCAGCAACAAACAUGGAAGCCAAAACUCCUCUGUUGUUACUUUAAAAAUUAAAUCAGAUUGGACAUUUACCAAAGAUGUACUAAUCAUUGCCAUAAUUGCUGCUGUUUCUGUGCUAAUGAUUGUGACCAUUGUUUUUGCCAUCAGAAGACGCAACAGAAAAAGGACAAGAGCACCAGAGAGGAGUGAGGAGUGUGAGGAAGACACCCAGAAUUCAGUCUAUGUCAACUAUCGUGUUUUGGACAAUAACCAAUCACAAGAGAGAAAUGGAUGUGAGGAACAAACACUAGAGCUCAUCUACACAACUGUUGACUUUCACACCGAGAGAAAGAUGAAGCAGCAGAUGGCCUCCCAUAACGAUGACGAAGGGGUGGUUUACAGCACAGUGUGCAGGAAACUCUUGAAUCCUACAUAUGUUGAAACUCCCUGAAUGGACAACA
RNA transcript from Etheostoma cragini (Arkansas darter), 4318 nucleotides. It is a transcript of the gene named B-cell receptor CD22-like, with no coding region annotated. The record is from RefSeq and is a predicted model, not a curated record. Lineage: Eukaryota; Metazoa; Chordata; Actinopteri; Perciformes; Percidae. The transcript has 17 exons.